CUUGGCCCAAGCUCGGUAGAGUUACUGUAUAUGGCUCCUUUUAACUCUCAAGCUCAGUAAAGAAGCUCAGCAUCCAAUAACCAACGCUCUACUGUCUGUCACACUGCUUGCUGUGAUAACGCUCUACCCGUGUGAAUGGAACGGCCUGGCAACGUGUGCACGUUGCCAGAGCCAAUUUUGAAGGCCUCGAGUAAUCCAACAUGACACUAACGAGCACUAACUGCAAGUGUUUCGGUAGUCUCAGCCCGGCGGAGGCUUUCGCUGCAGUAUUGUAGAAAAAUGUGUGGUCGGUGAAAUCUGGCAUCUAGGGUGAUUCGAUUUGGUGACGAUGCAGCGGCCAUAUAAUGUACUUUUAUUCCGUGUUCCGUAUUCCGUAUUCCCUGUUACGUCACGCUUGAGGCGCCGUCCACACCGGAAGCCGCGAUGUUUUUCGAAUUUGGCCAAUAAAAAGCGCUCGUAGCCGCCCAUAGCUUGUAGAGCAAGACAAGUGCGGCAGUUGGCGUUUUUUACGUAGGAAUUCUGGGGAAAUCCCUAGUAUUUUUUAGGUAUUUUCGGAAGGAAAAUUUAGGGGCUUUAGUGACUUCUUGGUUGAGGGCCGCAAAGGGGCCGUAUAACUAUUUUAUUUCGUCCGCGAGCGUGUGACAAAACAACAAUUGUACGUAAAUGAAAAUAAAUUUGUUUUAUGAGCUUCUGGUACUAAAAUUAUUGAAAAUGAUUGCGAAGUAAACGCAAAAAAAACGUAUUUUGAGAGUCGUAGCCGCAUGGGUGUCGCUUUUGCAUCCAAUCCAAGUCCCUUAAGGCGGCCGUUGCGAGAAAAACAGCUCAUCGUCUCUGCGAGCCGUGUUUUCUGUUCUGUCACCUAUAGUGCUGCGAAAAGAGUGUGAUCGCGACUACCGGGGAGUAUUUUCGUCGCAGAGGAAUGUUGGAAGCUGCGAAGAGCAAGGAAAACAUGGAAUGCUAGCUGCAAGGUGAGUAAACAAUGCCGAGCAUGCCGUUAGCGCGUUAUGUUUACUUUGCUUUGGUUCUUACAGGUAGCGAAAAAAAAAAAAUCGUUAUGAACUGGGGAAGCCUGUACUUCUAUCGUCUGAUAUCUACUGCAGCAUCCGGAGCUUGUCGAUGGAGUGAGGGGCAUGCGUUCAGCUACCUAAUGCAUCGCAGGCACCCUCUAACAUCUCCUGGCUGCCAAUGGGCCUGGAGUUCCCCAGUCUUCACUGCUGCUGUAGCCACCUCGUCGGCCAUGAACAUUAAGACUUUAUUGCCAUUUUAACUUGUCUUUAUUUUUCUGUUCUUUGUUUCGCGUUUCCUUACUUGCGUGUCAUCUUUUUGGUGUGAAAAGUGUAGUGCGUAAGUGUUUUUAAAUCGAUACUCCACUUUCUUGGGGUAGUGUGAGCACGUCUGCCCAAGUUGCUUUGACAUGUGAUCGUCAGCCUUCUGAAAUGAUGCACACAACACAUAUCAUGUGGCGUCAUUUCAUGCAGCAAUCCUGUAAGCA
Long non-coding RNA from Rhipicephalus sanguineus (brown dog tick), 1492 nucleotides. RefSeq lists it as uncharacterized. The transcript is spliced from 3 exons. The record is from RefSeq and is a predicted model, not a curated record. NCBI's taxonomy places the organism in Eukaryota, Metazoa, Arthropoda, Arachnida, Ixodida, Ixodidae.